Melozone crissalis (California towhee) is the source of this 200-nucleotide long non-coding RNA. RefSeq lists it as uncharacterized. Lineage: Eukaryota; Metazoa; Chordata; Aves; Passeriformes; Passerellidae. The transcript has 3 exons. The record is from RefSeq and is a predicted model, not a curated record.
UGGCUGUUUCUGUCUGCUCAGAUCACACAUUCAGCACCUCAGAGGUGGACUUUACACAGGCCUGGCUAUGUCUGUCUGCUCAGAUCACACACUCAGCACCUCAAAGAUGGAUUUUACAUCAGUAUUGGUGUAAAAUCCUGGCUGAGGAUUUUACAGCAGUGCUGGACAAGCCUGGCUGUGCCUGUCUGCUCACACACACA